This 274-nucleotide ribosomal RNA is filed under the name uncultured bacterium. RNAcentral describes it as "partial 16S ribosomal RNA". It matches the Rfam family "Bacterial small subunit ribosomal RNA", at positions 523 to 796 of the family's 1533-position model. The record is from RNAcentral.
AGACGUAGGGGGCGAGCGUUAAUCGGAAUUACUGGGCGUAAAGCGCGCGUAGGCGGUUGGAUAAGUCGGAUGUGAAAGCCCCGGGCUCAACCUGGGAAUUGCAUUCGAAACUGUCCGGCUAGAGUAUGGUAGAGGGAAGCGGAAUUCCACAUGUAGCGGUGAAAUGCGUAGAUAUGUGGAGGAACACCAGUGGCGAAGGCGGCUUCCUGGACCAAUACUGACGCUGAGGUGCGAAAGCGUGGGGAGCAAACAGGAUUAGAUACCCUAGUAGUCC